AGACCUGUUUUGUAAAAAAUAUAAAUAUUUACUAAAAUUGUAAAUGCAUUCAUUAUCUAAUUAAUUUUGUUCUCAUAAGUAAAUAGUAGUAACCAUACCUGCAUGUUAUUGUUUCUAAAUAUUGUAACAUUAUGAAGACCGUAUGUUAGAUGACGAUUAUGGUUAAUACGUUUCCUUCGUGAAAUAAAGUUUUUUACUUUGCUUAUUAUAUACUGAGGUUUUAGCCUGUUUAAUUAAAUAUAUUUUUAUUCUAUUGUAUUAUGAUACAUUAUUGAUGUUAUCCAAAACAAUUCAACUACAUUAAAUACUUACCAACCUUGUACCCUUGACAUUUAACUUCUAGCAUGUGGUGAUACCAACCCAGCGUUUUGCCUGAUUUACUCCAAAUAUUGCUCCUUGUGGAAGGUGGCUCACAACAUGUGCAGGCGCACCUGCAACACCUGUAAACUUUAAGGUAAGUGAAGUUGAAGCUUGCUAAUUUUUAUCUCGGAUGUAAGCUCCCACGCCGAUUGGCUGCCUUAACCCUGGUUCUCGCUACGACGUAAGCAUAAGAAUAAGCAAAAGUGGGAUCAAACGUAUUCAUUUCUUAUGUACUGUCUUCACUAUACGACAGAACAGAAGCAUAAGAAUAUCAAAACGUUGCGUUCUUUUCCUUAUGCUUACACUGUUGCUUAUGCUUGCGUUUUAUCCUGCGUUCUGCCAAGGAUACAGUGAGAACAACACGUCAAGCAUAAGAACAUCAAAUCAUUCCGCUUGUUUAUCAUUGCGCUGAUGCUAGCGUUGUAGUGAGAACAAUGCUUUAAGCUUCGAAUACAAUGGUUGCUAAUAGUAUUGCGUUGUCGUCGCACAAGGUGGCUACACCUGCAAUAUUUCACCUGCAAUACACGUCUUUAUAACGCAUUUCAUUGGCCGGUCAAGAAACGUGUCAAUCAUCAACCUUGACCACACCACCCAAUUUUCGGCAAUCAUUGCCAAAAAUCAACAGAUUUGAAAUUUCGGCAAUCAUUGCGCGAAGCUUUGCGUUGCCAUCGCAGAGCAUGAUACACAAGCAAUUUCUCUCUCGCGAUGGCAAUGCAACGAUUUUACCACCACUGCAUUUCCGUCGCCAGAAAAAUAUUACCCGCGUGUAUCCGGGACUUACAUAUGGGACUUGCAUUCAUCUGGCCCCCAGAUAUGUAUCUUAGUCUGUGUAUCUUAGUCUACCGUUUAAAUGAAUUUAUCCCACAAUGCCCUGUCUAAUCUUCUAUAAUUUCCAUGCUUUGAAUGAUAGAACGACACAUAUUAACUUUUGCCUGAGACUGUCGGAUGCAAUCAGUUUAAAAUUGCAGUGUGUAUAGCAAGCACACAACUCGCCUACGUUGUCGUACGUAAGUUGUGUGCUUGAUUGAUACAGUACAACUCAAGUUGUAAGCAGGUUGCAUGCGACAGUUUUGGGCAAGAGUUGUGUAGUGUAAAUCGGUUAUAAAACUUUUAACUACGUUUUAGUGCAAAGGUGUUGUGGCGUGUUCUAAUCGCCAUGUUUUUCAUUCUUUCAGGUAUUCCACAGGCAGAAACACAGGUUCAAAAUGAAAAUAAAAUGUAACUGAUAUUUAAGUUUGGUUCUUUAACAUUUUUGUGUGCAUUUUGAACGUUUUUUCAUACAUUCUCUUUUGAAUUAUUGAGUAUAGUUUAAGAAACUCACGUGAAAUUAAAAUAGUAUUGCAUUAUGCGGUUCACAUCAUUGAGAAACUGUAGCGUAAAGUAUUGCAUAAGUAAGAGACCACUGCGCAGACUAGUAAUAUUUCAUGCUCCUCGAGCGUGCUUAUUUUUCUCCUAAAUUGUAGAAAUUUUGUAUUCAUGUUUGAUAAAAUUAAAAACUGUUACGUGGAGCUCGAACAUGUAGUUAUCAUCCACUUUUUUGGCCGAAGCGAAG
This is a non-coding RNA of Paramuricea clavata, 1912 nucleotides long. The record is from the annotation of a GenBank genome assembly. NCBI's taxonomy places the organism in Eukaryota, Metazoa, Cnidaria, Anthozoa, Malacalcyonacea, Plexauridae.